Molecule: non-coding RNA, 29 nt
Filed under: Mus musculus (house mouse)
Lineage: Eukaryota; Metazoa; Chordata; Mammalia; Rodentia; Muridae
Source: RNAcentral
UGUUAUUAUAAAUAGAUCUGAGAUGUGUA